Molecule: ribosomal RNA, 371 nt
Filed under: uncultured bacterium
Lineage: Bacteria
Description: bacterial SSU rRNA
Rfam family: Bacterial small subunit ribosomal RNA
Source: RNAcentral
AGAGGGUGCAAGCGUUGUUCGGAAUUACUGGGCGUAAAGCGUGCGUAGUCGGUAUUGAGAGUCACGGGUGAAAUCCCCAAGCUUAACUUGGGAACUGCCUGUGGGACCUCAGUACUAGAGUGUGAGAGGGGAUAGUGGAAUACCCAGUGUAGCGGUGAAAUGCGUAGAGAUUGGGUGGAACACCGGUGGCGAAGGCGGCUAUCUGGCUCACAACUGACGAUCAGGCACGAAAGCGUGGGGAACAAACAGGAUUAGAUACCCUGGUAGUCCACGCCGUAAACUAUGCACACAAGAUGUAGUGGGGUUUUACUCCUGCUGUGUCGAAGCUAACGCAAUUAGAGUGCCGCCUGGGGAGUACGGUCGCAAGACUA